UUAAGUUAGAAAGGGCGCACGGUGGAUGCCUUGACACUAGGAGUCGAUGAAGGACGGGACUAACGCCGAUAUGCUUCGGGGAGCUGUAAGUAAGCUUUGAUCCGAAGAUUUCCGAAUGGGGAAACCCACCAUACGUAAUGGUAUGGUAUCCUUAUCUGAAUACAUAGGAUAAGGAAGACAGACCCAGGGAACUGAAACAUCUAAGUACCUGGAGGAAGAGAAAGCAAAUGCGAUUUCCUGAGUAGCGGCGAGCGAAACGGAACAUAGCCCAAACCAAGAGGCUUGCCUCUUGGGGUUGUAGGACAUUCUAUACGGAGUUACAAAGGAACGAGGUAGACGAAGCGACCUGGAAAGGUCCGUCGUAGAGGGUAACAACCCCGUAGUCGAAACUUCGUUCUCUCUUGAAUGUAUCCUGAGUACGGCGGAACACGUGAAAUUCCGUCGGAAUCUGGGAGGACCAUCUCCCAAGGCUAAAUACUCCCUAGUGAUCGAUAGUGAACCAGUACCGUGAGGGAAAGGUGAAAAGCACCCCGGAAGGGGAGUGAAAGAGAUCCUGAAACCGUGUGCCUACAAAUAGUCAGAGCCCGUUAACGGGUGAUGGCGUGCCUUUUGUAGAAUGAACCGGCGAGUUACGAUCCCGUGCGAGGUUAAGCUGAAGAGGCGGAGCCGCAGCGAAAGCGAGUCUGAAUAGGGCGUUUAGUACGUGGUCGUAGACCCGAAACCAGGUGAUCUACCCAUGUCCAGGGUGAAGUUCAGGUAACACUGAAUGGAGGCCCGAACCCACGCACGUUGAAAAGUGCGGGGAUGAGGUGUGGGUAGCGGAGAAAUUCCAAUCGAACCUGGAGAUAGCUGGUUCUCCCCGAAAUAGCUUUAGGGCUAGCCUUAAGUGUAAGAGUCUUGGAGGUAGAGCACUGAUUGGACUAGGGGUCCUCAUCGGAUUACCGAAUUCAGUCAAACUCCGAAUGCCAAUGACUUAUCCUUAGGAGUCAGACUGCGAGUGAUAAGAUCCGUAGUCAAAAGGGAACAGCCCAGACCGCCAGCUAAGGUCCCAAAGUGUGUAUUAAGUGGAAAAGGAUGUGGAGUUGCUUAGACAACUAGGAUGUUGGCUUAGAAGCAGCCACCAUUUAAAGAGUGCGUAAUAGCUCACUAGUCGAGUGACUCUGCGCCGAAAAUGUACCGGGGCUAAAUACACCACCGAAGCUGCGGAUUGAUACCAAUGGUAUCAGUGGUAGGGGAGCGUUCUAAGGACAGUGAAGUCAGACCGGAAGGACUGGUGGAGUGCUUAGAAGUGAGAAUGCCGGUAUGAGUAGCGAAAGACGGGUGAGAAUCCCGUCCACCGAAUGCCUAAGGUUUCCUGAGGAAGGCUCGUCCGCUCAGGGUUAGUCAGGACCUAAGCCGAGGCCGACAGGCGUAGGCGAUGGACAACAGGUUGAUAUUCCUGUACCACCUCUUUAUCGUUUGAGCAAUGGAGGGACGCAGAAGGAUAGAAGAAGCGUGCGAUUGGUUGUGCACGUCCAAGCAGUUAGGCUGAUAAGUAGGCAAAUCCGCUUAUCGUGAAGGCUGAGCUGUGAUGGGGAAGCUCCUUAUGGAGCGAAGUCUUUGAUUCCCCGCUGCCAAGAAAAGCUUCUAGCGAGAUAAAAGGUGCCUGUACCGCAAACCGACACAGGUAGGCGAGGAGAGAAUCCUAAGGUGUGCGAGAGAACUCUGGUUAAGGAACUCGGCAAAAUGACCCCGUAACUUCGGGAGAAGGGGUGCUUUCUUAACGGAAAGCCGCAGUGAAUAGGCCCAAGCGACUGUUUAGCAAAAACACAGCUCUCUGCGAAGCCGUAAGGCGAAGUAUAGGGGGUGACACCUGCCCGGUGCUGGAAGGUUAAGGAGAGGGGUUAGCGUAAGCGAAGCUCUGAACUGAAGCCCCAGUAAACGGCGGCCGUAACUAUAACGGUCCUAAGGUAGCGAAAUUCCUUGUCGGGUAAGUUCCGACCCGCACGAAAGGUGUAACGAUUUGGGCACUGUCUCAACCAGAGACUCGGUGAAAUUAUAGUACCUGUGAAGAUGCAGGUUACCCGCGACAGGACGGAAAGACCCCGUGGAGCUUUACUGUAGCCUGAUAUUGAAUUUUGGUACAGUUUGUACAGGAUAGGCGGGAGCCUUUGAAACCGGAGCGCUAGCUUCGGUGGAGGCGCUGGUGGGAUACCGCCCUGACUGUAUUGAAAUUCUAACCUACGGGUCUUAUCGACCCGGGAGACAGUGUCAGGUGGGCAGUUUGACUGGGGCGGUCGCCUCCUAAAGUGUAACGGAGGCGCCCAAAGGUUCCCUCAGAAUGGUUGGAAAUCAUUCGUAGAGUGCAAAGGCAUAAGGGAGCUUGACUGCGAGACCUACAAGUCGAGCAGGGACGAAAGUCGGGCUUAGUGAUCCGGUGGUUCCGCAUGGAAGGGCCAUCGCUCAACGGAUAAAAGCUACCCCGGGGAUAACAGGCUUAUCUCCCCCAAGAGUCCACAUCGACGGGGAGGUUUGGCACCUCGAUGUCGGCUCAUCGCAUCCUGGGGCUGUAGUCGGUCCCAAGGGUUGGGCUGUUCGCCCAUUAAAGCGGUACGCGAGCUGGGUUCAGAACGUCGUGAGACAGUUCGGUCCCUAUCCGUCGUGGGCGUAGGAAAUUUGAGAGGAGCUGUCCUUAGUACGAGAGGACCGGGAUGGACGCACCGCUGGUGUACCAGUUGUUCUGCCAAGGGCAUAGCUGGGUAGCUAUGUGCGGAAGGGAUAAGUGCUGAAAGCAUCUAAGCAUGAAGCCCCCCUCAAGAUGAGAUUUCCCAUAGCGUAAGCUAGUAAGAUCCCUGAAAGAUGAUCAGGUUGAUAGGUUCGAGGUGGAAGCAUGGUGACAUGUGGAGCUGACGAAUACUAAUAGAUCGAGGACUUAACCAU
Molecule: ribosomal RNA, 2919 nt
Filed under: Bacillus anthracis (anthrax bacterium)
Lineage: Bacteria; Bacillati; Bacillota; Bacilli; Caryophanales; Bacillaceae
Description: bacterial LSU rRNA
Rfam family: Bacterial large subunit ribosomal RNA
Source: RNAcentral